This 265-nucleotide ribosomal RNA is filed under the name uncultured archaeon. Its description in RNAcentral is "partial 16S ribosomal RNA". It matches the Rfam family "Archaeal small subunit ribosomal RNA", at positions 717 to 982 of the family's 1478-position model. The record is from RNAcentral.
AGUCACUGACAUUAGAUACCCGUGUAGUCCCAGCCGUAAACUAUGCUCGCUAGGUGUCAGGCAUGGCGCGACCGUGUCUGGUGCCGCAGGGAAGCCGUGAAGCGAGCCACCUGGGAAGUACGGCCGCGAGGCUGAAACUUAAAGGAAUUGGCGGGGGAGCACAACAACGGGUGGAGCCUGCGGUUUAAUUGGACUCAACGCCGGACAACUCACCGGGGACGACAGCAAUAUGUAGGCCAGGCUGAAGACCUUGCCUGAAUCGCUG